Molecule: long non-coding RNA, 1765 nt
Filed under: Homo sapiens (human)
Lineage: Eukaryota; Metazoa; Chordata; Mammalia; Primates; Hominidae
Description: novel transcript
Source: RNAcentral
CGGAUGUCUCCUAGAGAGAAAGGGAUGGGAGAGUCCUCUGUGGAGUGGCUUCUGUUCCCUACAUCCCAGAGAGGCUCAGCUUUUCUGGCCGAUGGAGUGCAGUUUUAUUUGUUUGAGAAUAUGUUUUGUUUUCUUCCUUUUUCUCGUUCUUGCUUACCCUCAAAACAUGGGAAGAAAAGCUGUCUGACUCAAACAGCCAGCAGUCUGGUCCGGGCCCCCUAAGAUGGAGAGGCGCCAUUUCCCAGCAGGCCAAGAAAUGCCCCGGGAGCUCCAAGGGUUCUGUGGGUCCCGGGAUGAGAGGCUGACACAGCCAAGAAGACCCAGGGUGAGGCUGAGCGGAGGCUGAGGCGGCAUGCCUGGCCGCCCACACUGCCAUCCGUCCUAGCGCUCUGUGCAGAGCACGGCUGAAAACUCCCCAGGUAUCUUUGGAAAUGAAGAACACUGGGUUGGCACCCGGCAAUUUGGGACAGCAGCUUUUCUGGAGCGCACAGCUUGGGAAUAAGCCUGAAGAAAUCUUUCAUUCCUAGAGCGUUGGUGGAUAAAUGGUACUUAUUUGUUUAACCUCAAAUCAAGCCGCAGCCCCCAUUUCUGGGGCUGCUUUGCGAGGGUUGUUUUAAAAUAGCUGAACAAGCUGAAAAUCACGGGUCUAGGUUGCUGGAAUGGCUUUGCAGAGAGCAGCCGGGCUUAGGAAGUUCUUUAAUUUUCCAUAGAAUGUGACUGGCAGUGGUUGGGGGUUGGGGUCGGGGGUAGGGGGAGGGAGGUGAGCUGUCGGAGAGGAACAAAGCCUGGGCCCUUCUUCUAGAAGGGUCCGUAUUGGCUGAACAAUCUCUGCAGUGGAUUCAACCUGGUCUGGUCCCCUUGGGGGUUUGGGGUGGGAUGUUAUCUUGGAGGACUCCUUCCUGAGGUCUGCUGCAGGUGGCUUUGAAUUCAGCAGAGUGAAGUUCCUCGGUUAUUCCUGUCUGACUGGGGUCAAUUUCCUCUUUUAUUAACGGAACAGCUCUUUCCUCAGGAGAACCUAUUUCAUGGAUUUAGGUAGGACUGACUCGGUAGUGUACAUAACUGUUUAAUGGCCAGCUGGGGGCAGGCAGAGGGGACAGGGAGGAAAGCCUUGAUUUGUAGCAUUUGCCAAUUUCCAUGGUGUAAAUACUCCCCCACUACCAGCUUCAAGCUACAGACAUAACAUCACUGAGACGUCACUGACCUUGGACUCGGGAACAGAUGAGCACACCCAGCUCUCACAAACACAUCCCCGGUGCUGAUUUUACCCCAUCCAGGGCUGGGCACAUGACCCAAAGCUGCCCUAUGGGAGUUCCUCAGGGCCAUCAGAGGAGACUGCUCCUUUUCUUAGGCAUUGCUAAAUAGAAUGUUAGUUGGGGACUGCCAGCAGCCAUCUUGCCAGCUCUAGAGAGAGAAUUUGGUUGAGAGGGGGAGAAAGGGCACCCAUGACAUCCUCUGAACCCCUGAAGCCAGCCAUACCUGAAGCUGGUGUAUUCCUGGACUUUCCAACUACACACAUCUCUAGCCCCUCUUCUUUGCCUAAGUAGUGUGGGCUGAGUUUCUGCCACCUGCCAAUAAAAUGCCAAGAAUAAAAAAAAUGGGUCACCCAUUCAAGGAAGCCAAUCUAAUAGAUCUGGCUUUAUCUUGAUUGUGGUGGUUUCCCAGGCAUAUGCAACUGGUAACAUUCACUAAGUUGUACACUUUCCGUUACUGCAGCUUCUUGUAAGUAAAUUCUAGCUCAAUAAAACUGUUAAACAUAUAAAAAACA